Molecule: ribosomal RNA, 469 nt
Filed under: uncultured bacterium
Lineage: Bacteria
Description: partial 16S ribosomal RNA
Rfam family: Bacterial small subunit ribosomal RNA
Source: RNAcentral
GACGAACGCUGGCGGCGUGCUUAACACAUGCAAGUCGAACGGAAAGGCCCUGCUUGCCGGGUGCUCGAGUGGCGAACGGGUGAGUAACACGUGGGUGAUCUGCCCCUUACUUUGGGAUAAGCCUGGGAAACUGGGUCUAAUACUGGAUAGGACCAUGCUGUAGGUGGUGUGGUGGAAAGAUUAGUUUCGGUAAGGGAUGAGCUCGCGGCCUAUCAGCUUGUUGGUGGGGUAAUGGCCUACCAAGGCGUCGACGGGUAGCCGGCCUGAGAGGGUGGACGGCCACAUUGGGACUGGGAUACGGCCCAGAAGCCUACGGGAGGCAGCAGUGGGGAAUAUUGCACAAUGGGCGCAAGCCUGAUGCAGCGACGCCGCGUGGGGGAUGACGGCCUUCGGGUUGUAAACUCCUUUCAGCCAUGACGAAGCCCUUGUGGUGACGGUAGUGGUAGAAGAAGCACCGGCUAACUACGUG